Vespa crabro (European hornet) is the source of this 2016-nucleotide long non-coding RNA. RefSeq lists it as uncharacterized. NCBI's taxonomy places the organism in Eukaryota, Metazoa, Arthropoda, Insecta, Hymenoptera, Vespidae. The record is from RefSeq and is a predicted model, not a curated record. The transcript is spliced from 2 exons.
UUCAUUUUUAUUUUUUUUUCUUUUCCCUUUUUUUUUCUUUUCUUUUUUUUUUUUUUUUUUUUUAUUAAGUUACACGUAUUAAUUUUAUUUCUAGAAUGAUCAUUUGUUAUACACGUUACUUUAUUUAAGAAAUUAGAAUUGAGGAGAUUGAGAUUAUAUAUGCAACAAAAAAUUGUUAUUUAAUUAAUGUACGAGAGAAAGAGAAAGAGAUAUGUGUAGAAUGAACACGACGAAGUGCAUCUUGAUUGGUUAUGUCCUAUCUAGAAUGAACUUUCGCGUGACAGUAAGAUUUUCUUUUCUCUUUUAAAUAUAUUUAUUUCUCUUUUCUUUUUUUUUUCUUUUUCAUUUCUCUCUCUCUCUCUCUCUUUCUCUCUCUUUCUCUCUUUUUCUUUAUCUUUCUCCUUCCUUCUCUCGAGAAUCUUCGCGAACGUCGCGUGUACGUUCAAAGAGAUAAUUUGCAAGAUGCUCGCACGAUCGUCGCGAUAUAUAAUAUUAUAUGUAAGCAAUUUGAAAUGAUUCUCCUUCAAAGCGUUAACUGAAACAUUCGGCCUGACACUUUUUCGUCGUUCCCUUUCUACACUUUGAAAUCCUUUUAUGUAGUUUAUUCGAUUCGAAGGAAAGAAAGAAAGAAAGAAAGAAAGAAAGAAAGAAAGAAAGAAAAAGAAAAAAAAAGAGAGAGAAAGAAGAAGAAACGAAAUAAACAUUGCGAGACAAUUUUACAAUCUUUGCAAUCAUCUGGUAUUACGUGUGUUACGUUUUUCUUUUUUACAGUUUUCUCGGAAUUCAAUCAGAAAACAUAUAUACAUAUAUACGUACAUACAUACAUAUAUACAUAAAUACAUACAUAGGAAAGUGUUGAAUAUUUUUGAAAUUUCGCUCGAGUCAUAAGUCACAAAUUUUAAUUAAUCUUAUCGAUUGAUUGAACGAUACAUUUGAUACAUUAAAUUAUAUUGUAUAAUGCAGUAUUGUAUAAUUAAUACAAUAUAAUAUAAUAUAAUGUAUGAAUGUGAUUGGAUCGAUCGAAUAAUCGUCUUUAAUCGUAUGAUCCCCGUCAUUUUUUUUUCUGAUUUAUUUUUCGGAUGGAUUUUCAUCUUUGUUUUGUGAAUGGUGGGAAGGGAGAUAGACGGGAGGGGAGGGGUGGGGUCAUAUUAAAUAGAAUAAAACGAGAGAGGAUGAGAACGAAAAAAAUAAAAGGGCGGAGAAAAGGAGAAAGAAACAAAAACAACAAUAAUAAUAAUAAUAAUAAUAAAAAAAGAAAACAGCAAAAAAGAAAAAGAUGAACCGUAAAAGGGAGUAAAGAAUAAGGAGAGAAAGAGAGAGAGAGAGAGAAGCUCGCGGGCCGGUUACUUCCAUUCGCGGCAUUUUGCGACGUGCAUCUUGCUUUGCGAAGGCGAAGUAACGACGAUGGCGAACAUUAUUACUACAGCAUUAGCAGCAUCAGCAGUAGUAGUUGCAGGAGCAAAAGCAGUAGCAGGAACAGUAGCAGUAGCAGUAGCAGUAGUAGGAUCAGUAACAGCAGUAGCAGUAACGUGGCGCACGUGUGUUUGCGCAUUCUACGAUCCGAUUGGUUAAAAUGCAAGUAACCUUCGCGGAUAGUUGAGGCUCGUUGUUUAAAAUCAAUGCUCUCGGAUGACAUUCAACAAAAAUUCUUAAAAAAAUUUAACGAAGAAGAACGAACUCGAAUGACAAUUUAUUAUUAUUAUUAUUAUUAUUAAUAUUAUUAUAUUACUAUUGUUAUUAUUAUUAAUAUUACUCGUGUUAAGGAACGAACCAAAGAGAUUAGAACAGUGCAGUGAAUUAUCCGUAUACCAAAUUGAUACCAAAAGUUUAGUGAAAAAUUACGAACUUAUGUGAGUGUUUAUGUGGAUGGUAUUUGCCGGUGAACGACGAAGAAGAUAAGCCUGUUUUGAAGAAAAAGAAAGGAAUAAAUAAAUAAAUAAAAAAUAAUAAUAAUAAAGAAAGAAAGGAGAGAAGAGCAAAAAUAUAUAAAAGAAAUAAAAGUGAGAAAGAAAAGAA